This 805-nucleotide long non-coding RNA is filed under the name Coturnix japonica (Japanese quail). Its description in RNAcentral is "lncRNA (ENSCJPG00005003834.1)". Lineage: Eukaryota; Metazoa; Chordata; Aves; Galliformes; Phasianidae. The record is from RNAcentral.
CUAGGACAACUCAAUUUUAGUAGUGCUUGAAAGUGAUAAAUAAGGUUUACUAGGCACUUUAUAAAGAUUAAAUUAUUUAGAUUUAUAUAGAUCAGAGAAGUCAUGGGCAUUUUGUGCUUCAUUCCAUAAAUCCAAAGCAUAGUCUUAAUCUGUAAAUUUUAAUGGUUUUACAUCAGAUUGUGCCAUCUGAAUAUAUCGUAUUGUCACGUUUGUCAGAUGCAACUUCCCCAGUAACAUGACUCACAUCACAGUAAGUUCAGCUGUUUUCAUCAUAGGGAGACUCAGCAGAAGACAGCUUCCCCUACUGCUGUCCUAGAUGAGAUGGAGGGGUGCAUAAAGGAGACCCAGACUCACAGGAAGAGGAUUUUUCUCAGCAGACUGAUGAUAGCAGGAAGAUGAAAUAAAAAGAUGAAGGUAUCAUUUCUGCUCCAGUCUUUCUCUACUUGGCUGAGAAAACCAAGACAUUACAAGGAUAAAGAAAUGUACAGCUGUGAUGAGACGUUCGACUAUGUGCUUUAUCCUUCCAGAAAUUAAUGGAAGACACAUUCCUGGCACAAUAGUACCAAAUUCUGUGCAUGUUUCUUUUGCUCCCUUCGAGGCGCUAAGAAGACUCACUUUCAUUUCAAGAUUUUCCUCCAGCAAAGUAAUUUAUAGCCCUGAAAUUCUCUCUCAAAAUUUCACCAGAGACCCUUUCCAAACACUUCUUGUUCUAGUGCAGAGACACAUCCAUCCUUCAAGGUACAUUAAGGAGGAGUCAAUGACUAUUGUUGUCGCUCACCUGUGCUCUGUUAUGGCACAAACAUGA